This 646-nucleotide ribosomal RNA is filed under the name uncultured Thelephoraceae. RNAcentral's name for it is "eukaryotic LSU rRNA". The stretch from base 182 to 336 matches the Rfam family "5.8S ribosomal RNA". The record is from RNAcentral. Lineage: Eukaryota; Fungi; Basidiomycota; Agaricomycetes; Thelephorales; Thelephoraceae.
GUCGCUGGCCUCCGGAAUGGGGGCAUGUGCACGCUCUGUUUACACAUCCACUCACACCUGUGCACCCUUUGUAGUUCUAUGGUUCGGGAGGCCCCGCCUUCCUUCUGUAGCUCUACGUCUUUACACACACACCGUAGUGAAGUUUUAUGGAAUGUUUUUUGCGUUUAACGCUAUACAAUACAACUUUCAGCAACGGAUCUCUUGGCUCUCGCAUCGAUGAAGAACGCAGCGAAAUGCGAUAAGUAAUGUGAAUUGCAGAAUUCAGUGAAUCAUCGAAUCUUUGAACGCACCUUGCGCCCCUUGGAUAUUCCUUGGGGCAUGCCUGUUUGAGUAUCAUGAACACCUCAACUCUCAUGGUUUUCUGUGAUGAGUUUGGACUUUGGGGGUUUGCUGGCCCUGUGGCCGGCUCCUCUCAAAUGAAUUAGCUUGCCAGUGUUUGGUGGCGUCACGGGUGUGAUAACUAUCUACGUUCGUGGCCGUCUGCCAGGUAACCCUCAGCAAUGAAGGUUCAUUGGGGCUCACAAAUGUCUCUUCUUGUGGGGACAACUUUUGAACGUUUGAUCUCAAAUCAGGUAGGACUACCCGCUGAACUUAAGCAUAUCAAUAAGCGGAGGAAAAGAAACUAACAAGGAUUCCCCUAGUAACU